RNAcentral lists this ribosomal RNA (263 nucleotides) under uncultured bacterium. Its description in RNAcentral is "partial 16S ribosomal RNA". It matches the Rfam family "Bacterial small subunit ribosomal RNA", at positions 29 to 289 of the family's 1533-position model. The record is from RNAcentral.
AUUAACGCUAGCGGCAGGCAUAAUACAUGCAAGUUGAACGGCAGCACAGGUAGCAAUACUGGGUGGCGAGUGGCGCACGGGUGCGUAACACGUAUGCAACCUACCCUAUACAGGCGAAUAACCUUUAGAAAUGAGGGCUAAUACGCCGUAGUAUUGCAGAUGGGCAUCUAUUUGUAAUUAAAGAUUUAUCGGUAUAGGAUGGGCAUGCGUCCCAUUAGUUAGUUGGUAAGGUAACGGCUUACCAAGACGAUGAUGGGUAGGGG